This 740-nucleotide ribosomal RNA is filed under the name uncultured Staphylococcus sp. Its description in RNAcentral is "bacterial SSU rRNA". It matches the Rfam family "Bacterial small subunit ribosomal RNA", at positions 37 to 759 of the family's 1533-position model. The record is from RNAcentral. Lineage: Bacteria; Bacillati; Bacillota; Bacilli; Caryophanales; Staphylococcaceae.
UGGCGGCGUGCCUAAUACAUGCAAGUCGAGCGAACAGACAAGGAGCUUGCUCCUCUGACGUUAGCGGCGGACGGGUGAGUAACACGUGGAUAACCUACCUAUAAGACUGGGAUAACUUCGGGAAACCGGAGCUAAUACCGGAUAAUAUAUUGAACCGCAUGGUUCAAUAGUGAAAGACGGUUUUGCUGUCACUUAUAGAUGGAUCCGCGCCGCAUUAGCUAGUUGGUAAGGUAACGGCUUACCAAGGCAACGAUGCGUAGCCGACCUGAGAGGGUGAUCGGCCACACUGGAACUGAGACACGGUCCAGACUCCUACGGGAGGCAGCAGUAGGGAAUCUUCCGCAAUGGGCGAAAGCUUGACGGAGCAACGCCGCGUGAGUGAUGAAGGUCUUCGGGUCGUAAAACUCUGUUAUUAGGGAAGAACAAAUGUGUAAGUAACUAUGCACGUCUUGACGGUACCUAAUCAGAAAGCCACGGCUAACUACGUGCCAGCAGCCGCGGUAAUACGUAGGUGGCAAGCGUUAUCCGGAAUUAUUGGGCGUAAAGCGCGCGUAGGCGGUUUCUUAAGUCUGAUGUGAAAGCCCACGGCUCAACCGUGGAGGGUCAUUGGAAACUGGAAAACUUGAGUGCAGAAGAGGAAAGUGGAAUUCCAUGUGUAGCGGUGAAAUGCGCAGAGAUAUGGAGGAACACCAGUGGCGAAGGCGACUUUCUGGUCUGUAACUGACGCUGAUGUGCGAAAG